Molecule: ribosomal RNA, 629 nt
Filed under: Fusarium nygamai
Lineage: Eukaryota; Fungi; Ascomycota; Sordariomycetes; Hypocreales; Nectriaceae
Also listed under: 3 other names
Description: eukaryotic LSU rRNA
Rfam family: Eukaryotic large subunit ribosomal RNA
Source: RNAcentral
UCUGUAAAGUUCCUUCGACGAGUCGAGUAGUUUGGGAAUGCUGCUCUAAAUGGGAGGUAUAUGUCUUCUAAAGCUAAAUACCGGCCAGAGACCGAUAGCGCACAAGUAGAGUGAUCGAAAGAUGAAAAGCACUUUGAAAAGAGAGUUAAAAAGUACGUGAAAUUGUUGAAAGGGAAGCGUUUAUGACCAGACUUGGGCUUGGUUAAUCAUCUGGGGUUCUCCCCAGUGCACUUUUCCAGUCCAGGCCAGCAUCAGUUUUCGCCGGGGGAUAAAGACUUCGGGAAUGUGGCUCUCUUCGGGGAGUGUUAUAGCCCGUUGUGUAAUACCCUGGCGGGGACUGAGGUUCGCGCAUCUGCAAGGAUGCUGGCGUAAUGGUCAUCAACGACCCGUCUUGAAACACGGACCAAGGAGUCGUCUUCGUAUGCGAGUGUUCGGGUGUCAAACCCCUACGCGUAAUGAAAGUGAACGCAGGUGAGAGCUUCGGCGCAUCAUCGACCGAUCCUGAUGUUCUCGGAUGGAUUUGAGUAAGAGCAUACGGGGCCGGACCCGAAAGAAGGUGAACUAUGCCUGUAUAGGGUGAAGCCAGAGGAAACUCUGGUGGAGGCUCGCAGCGGUUCUGACGUGCAAAU